UAGUCAUGGCAGAGACAGUGUAUGCUUCUUUCACCACUUCUUAACCACACGGUGCCAAAAUGGGCAAGCUCACUAUAACUGCAGGUUUCUGUUUGAUCAUCGCCAGCUUGGGUUUACCUGGCCUUGCAAGACAUCUUCCAGUUUACAAAACAACAGCUGGAAACCCCUGUUAUGGAGGACAAAAUGGGCCAUACCCCAACCCACGCGAGAUCCACAUACGUUUUCAACUGUGAUU
Gasterosteus aculeatus aculeatus (three-spined stickleback) is the source of this 235-nucleotide non-coding RNA. NCBI's taxonomy places the organism in Eukaryota, Metazoa, Chordata, Actinopteri, Perciformes, Gasterosteidae. The record is from RefSeq and is a predicted model, not a curated record.